GCCGUGCCGGCGCCGCGCCCCCACCACCGGCCGCCGCCCAUCCUGCGCGGCCACGCCGACGGCGCGCCGCCACCGCUGACUGCCUGAGUUCACGAGAGAGAGGAAGAAAAGGAAAGGGAAAGAGAGAAAGAGAAAAAAGAAAGGGGAGAUAAAAGGAAGAGACUGACGCGUGGGGUCUAUCUGUCAUAGACUCAAUGGAGAGGGUUGAUGCAGAGACGGUUGAAGUCAAAAACGAAUUUGAGUG
RNAcentral lists this long non-coding RNA (244 nucleotides) under Oryza brachyantha (malo sina). Its description in RNAcentral is "long non-coding RNA (OBRA_LNC001018)". Lineage: Eukaryota; Viridiplantae; Streptophyta; Magnoliopsida; Poales; Poaceae. The record is from RNAcentral.